This 254-nucleotide ribosomal RNA is filed under the name uncultured bacterium. RNAcentral's name for it is "partial 16S ribosomal RNA". It matches the Rfam family "Bacterial small subunit ribosomal RNA", at positions 524 to 776 of the family's 1533-position model. The record is from RNAcentral.
UACGUAGGGUGCGAGCGUUGUCCGGAAUUAUUGGGCGUAAAGAGCUUGUAGGCGGUUUUGUCGCGUCUGCCGUGAAAGCCCAGGGCUUAACCCUGGGUCUGCGGUGGGUACGGGCAGACUAGAGUGUGGUAGGGGAGACUGGAAUUCCUGGUGUAGCGGUGAAAUGCGCAGAUAUCAGGAGGAACACCGGUGGCGAAGGCGGGUCUCUGGGCAGUAACUGACGCUGAGGAGCGAAAGCGUGGGGAGCGAACAGG